GACACUUUGGCCGAGCGGUUAAGGCGUUAGACUCAAGUUGCAAGACUUACCCUCGAGAAGAGGGAGCAUUCUAAUAUCGCAAGAUGCAAGGGUUCGAAUCCCUUAGGUGUCA
Sugiyamaella lignohabitans is the source of this 112-nucleotide transfer RNA. It matches the Rfam family "tRNA". Rfam says of the family: Transfer RNA (tRNA) molecules are approximately 80 nucleotides in length. Their secondary structure includes four short double-helical elements and three loops (D, anti-codon, and T loops). NCBI's taxonomy places the organism in Eukaryota, Fungi, Ascomycota, Dipodascomycetes, Dipodascales, Trichomonascaceae. The record is from Rfam.